RNAcentral lists this ribosomal RNA (598 nucleotides) under uncultured bacterium. RNAcentral's name for it is "bacterial SSU rRNA". It matches the Rfam family "Bacterial small subunit ribosomal RNA", at positions 25 to 663 of the family's 1533-position model. The record is from RNAcentral.
CAGGAUGAACGCUGGCGGUCUGCUUAACACAUGCAAGUCGAACGCAAGUAGCAAUACUUGAGUGGCGGACGGGUGAGUAACGCGUGAGAAUCUGCCUAAAGGACCGGGACAACCACUGGAAACGGUGGCUAAUACCGGAUGUGCUCUACAGUGAAAGGGGAAACUCGCCUUUAGAGGAGCUCGCGUCUGAUUAGCUAGUUGGUAGGGUAAAAGCCUACCAAGGCGACAAUCAGUAGCUGGUCUGAGAGGAUGAUCAGCCACACUGGGACUGAGACACGGCCCAGACUCCUACGGGAGGCAGCAGUGGGGAAUUUUCCGCAAUGGGCGAAAGCCUGACGGAGCAAGACCGUGUGGGGGAGGAAGGCUCUUGGGUCGUAAACCUCUUUUGUCAGGGAAGAACACAAUGACGGUACCUGACGAAUCAGCCUCGGCUAACUCCGUGCCAGCAGCCGCGGUAAUACGGAGGAGGCAAGCGUUAUCCGGAAUUAUUGGGCGUAAAGCGUCCGUAGGUGGCUCGUCAAGUCUGCGGUCAAAGACCGGGGCUCAACCCUGGAAAGGCCGCGGAAACUGGUGAGCUAGAGUGCGGUAGGGGCAGAGG